RNAcentral lists this ribosomal RNA (393 nucleotides) under uncultured bacterium. RNAcentral describes it as "partial 16S ribosomal RNA". It matches the Rfam family "Bacterial small subunit ribosomal RNA", at positions 523 to 918 of the family's 1533-position model. The record is from RNAcentral.
AUACGGAGGAUCCGAGCGUUAUCCGGAUUUAUUGGGUUUAAAGGGUGCGCAGGCGGGAGAUUAAGUCGGCGGUGAAAUUUUGCAGCUCAACUGUAAAAGUGCCUUCGAAACUGGUUUCCUUGAGUGUAGAUGAAGUAGGCGGAAUUUGUGGUGUAGCGGUGAAAUGCAUAGAUAUCACGAGGAACUCCGAUUGCGCAGGCAGCUUACUAAACUACUACUGACGCUCAGGCACGAAGGCGUGGGGAUCAAACAGGAUUAGAUUCCCUGGUAGUCCACGCAGUAAACGAUGAUUACUAGCUGUUUGCGAUACAAUGUAAGCGGCUGAGCGAAAGCGUUAAGUAAUCCACCUGGGGAGUACGUUCGCAAGAAUGAAACUCAAAGGAAUUGACGGGG